This 467-nucleotide ribosomal RNA is filed under the name uncultured bacterium. RNAcentral's name for it is "partial 16S ribosomal RNA". It matches the Rfam family "Bacterial small subunit ribosomal RNA", at positions 29 to 507 of the family's 1533-position model. The record is from RNAcentral.
ACGAACGCUGGCGGCGUGCUUCACACCUGCCAGUCGAACGGAAAGGCCCUGCUUUUGUGGGGUGCUCGAGUGGCGAACGGGUGAGUAACACGUGAGUAACCUGCCCUUGACUUUGGGAUAACUUCAGGAAACUGGGGCUAAUACCGGAUAGGAGCUCCUGCUGCAUGGUGGGGGUUGGAAAGUUUCGGCGGUUGGGGAUGGACUCGCGGCUUAUCAGCUUGUUGGUGGGGUAGUGGCUUACCAAGGCUUUGACGGGUAGCCGGCCUGAGAGGGUGACCGGCCACAUUGGGACUGAGAUACGGCCCAGACUCCUACGGGAGGCAGCAGUGGGGAAUAUUGCACAAUGGGCGGAGGCCUGAUGCAGCAACGCCGCGUGCGGGAUGACGGCCUUCGGGUUGUAAACCGCUUUCGCCUGUGACGAAGCGUGAGUGACGGUAAUGGGUAAAGAAGCACCGGCUAACUACGUG